RNAcentral lists this ribosomal RNA (521 nucleotides) under Moraxella sp. RNAcentral describes it as "bacterial SSU rRNA". It matches the Rfam family "Bacterial small subunit ribosomal RNA", at positions 98 to 615 of the family's 1533-position model. Lineage: Bacteria; Pseudomonadati; Pseudomonadota; Gammaproteobacteria; Moraxellales; Moraxellaceae. The record is from RNAcentral.
GCGAACGGGUGAGUAAUGCUUAGGAAUCUGCCUAUUAGUGGGGGACAACAUUCCGAAAGGAAUGCUAAUACCGCAUACGUCCUACGGGAGAAAGCAGGGGAUCGCAAGACCUUGCGCUAAUAGAUGAGCCUAAGUCGGAUUAGCUAGUUGGUGGGGUAAAGGCCUACCAAGGCGACGAUCUGUAGCUGGUCUGAGAGGAUGAUCAGCCACACUGGGACUGAGACACGGCCCAGACUCCUACGGGAGGCAGCAGUGGGGAAUAUUGGACAAUGGGCGAAAGCCUGAUCCAGCCAUGCCGCGUGUGUGAAGAAGGCCUUUUGGUUGUAAAGCACUUUAAGUGGGGAGGAAAAGCUAAUAAUUAAUACCUAUUAGCCCUGACGUUACCCACAGAAUAAGCACCGGCUAACUCUGUGCCAGCAGCCGCGGUAAUACAGAGGGUGCAAGCGUUAAUCGGAAUUACUGGGCGUAAAGCGAGCGUAGGUGGUUACUUAAGUCAGAUGUGAAAGCCCCGGGCUUAACCU